UAGGGAAUCUUCCACAAUGGACGCAAGUCUGAUGGAGCAACGCCGCGUGAGUGAAGAAGGCUUUCGGGUCGUAAAACUCUGUUAUUGAAGAAGAACGUGCGUGACAGUAACUGGUCAUGCAGUGACGGUAUUCAAUCAGAAAGUCACGGCUAACUACGUGCCAGCAGCCGCGGUAAUACGUAGGUGGCAAGCGUUGUCCGGAUUUAUUGGGCGUAAAGCGAGUGCAGGCGGUCUUUUAAGUCUGAUGUGAAAGCCCUCGGCUUAACCGAAGAAGGGCAUCGGAAACUGGGAGACUUGAGUGCAGAAGAGGAGAGUGGAACUCCAUGUGUAGCGGUGAAAUGCGUAGAUAUAUGGAAGAACACCAGUGGCGAAGGCGGCUCUCUGGUCUGUAACUGACGCUGAGGCUCGAAAGCGUGGGUAGCAAACAGGAUUAGAUAACCUGGUAGUCCACGCCGUAAACGAUGAAUACUAAGUGUUGGAGGGUUUCCGCCCUUCAGUGCUGCAGCUAACGCAUUAAGUAUUCCGCCUGGGGAGUACGACCGCAAGGUUGAAAC
RNAcentral lists this ribosomal RNA (554 nucleotides) under uncultured bacterium. RNAcentral describes it as "partial 16S ribosomal RNA". It matches the Rfam family "Bacterial small subunit ribosomal RNA", at positions 355 to 900 of the family's 1533-position model. The record is from RNAcentral.